Molecule: long non-coding RNA, 330 nt
Filed under: Lathyrus oleraceus (garden pea)
Lineage: Eukaryota; Viridiplantae; Streptophyta; Magnoliopsida; Fabales; Fabaceae
Description: Pisum sativum (pea) long non-coding RNA (PSAT_LNC023904)
Source: RNAcentral
AUUUAUUAAUAAUCAUGUAUUUGAGAAAAUGGUUAUAACGUUGUGAAUCAUCACUUAUAUCAGGUUAUGCUAAGAUGAUUAAUAGGAAUGAACUACAUCAUAAUAUGUAUAUAUAUGAGGAAAAAGAGAACAGCCCCUACACCAAGCCUAAGCGAAAACAUGAUUGAUGGCUGACAAACAUAACAUACAUCUCAACACUUCAAAAUAAAUCAACCUGAAAACUUGGAUAAUAAUUACAGCCUGAUAAAUAGAUUGUACACAAACGAUUUUCAUAACAAUGGCGACAAUCACUUGGUUCGAUUCACAUGUGUAUGAAACACGACAAACCAA